AAGAUUUAAUGAAUGAAGGAAUUCAAAAGACUCAUCAAGGUGCAAAAAUUAAUAAAUCACAAGUAAGGAAUAAAAUAGGCAAUUGCAUAAAAUGAAAAUGAAAUAUCCCACAGUAUUAGAAUAUAAAUAAAGCUUACUUGUGAUGGUAAUGAUGUAUAACAUGUUGCAUAAAGGGAAAAGAAUUUACCUUGAAUAAAGAAUUGACAAUUGAGAGGUAAUUAAGGUCAAAAAGUCUCUCAACAAUGCUAUUAAAGUGAAUGGAUUUCUUAAAAAAGAGUUGCUGCAUAGUAAUGUGCAUGGGCUGUACAAAAACUGCUGUGAAUAGUAAAUUAUACAGAUAU
RNAcentral lists this unclassified non-coding RNA (341 nucleotides) under Hevea brasiliensis (rubber tree). Lineage: Eukaryota; Viridiplantae; Streptophyta; Magnoliopsida; Malpighiales; Euphorbiaceae. The record is from RNAcentral.